Non-coding RNA from Oryctolagus cuniculus (rabbit), 1119 nucleotides. Lineage: Eukaryota; Metazoa; Chordata; Mammalia; Lagomorpha; Leporidae. The record is from RefSeq and is a predicted model, not a curated record.
AUUAGCUAAACAUGAAAAAUAACUAAUUGCAAAUAACAGAUUCCAAUUAAAGCUAGCUUAUGGCAAUUAGUGAACUCACAGUCUAGUAACUCAGAAAUGUAGAGAUUCACUUGCUUUAUAUGUCACAAAACUUGGAGCAAAAUGAGAGUAUCUUCAAAUUUGAUAGCUUGAGGAUAGUUUAAUUAAGGAAAUUUAAAACUGUAGUAGGAUUUAGUGACACUAACAAGGAACAUAGCAAGAACCAAACACCAUAUCCCAUUCAAAUUACUAAAUUAUGACUCACACUUGACCACAACUAUGAACUUUCAUAAACAACCUUUAAGUGAUAUACAAGGGAAAGAAUUGUGGCGGGUGUUAAGGCACAGCAUGUUAAGUCUUUGCUUGGGACAUAUCUAAGGGUCUUAUCUGCUUCAACUACUUUGUGUUUCUGAUCCAGUUUCCUACAAAUGCUCCUAGGAAGCAGAGGAUGAUGGCCGCAGUACCAGGGUUUCUGCCAGCCUGUGAGAGACUAAGAUAGAGUCCUUGGCUCCUGGUUUUGGCUUGGCCUAGCCACAGUUGUUGGGGCAUUUAGAGAAAGAAAAAGAACCUAUUUACUGAAUCCUCAUUGCUGCCUCCCAGGAUCUAAAUUAGGAAGCAGGAGUCAGAAAACAGAGGUUCACACAUUCCCUUUUACCAGAAAAUCAGUUACAACAUGAAAUGAAAUAAACUAAAUCCAACCACAAAUUUACUUUCUACCUUAUGGAAUAAAGUUGCUUAAAUGGAAAGGUAAGCAUUGUUUGCAACUCAUAUUUUAAUUUGUUUGAUCUUGAUCCCAUGAGCUCCACAUCCUUUGUUGGAUUUGAGCUGUUUCACAACAUUUUAAAUGGUAUAGAAUUGCUAGCAGUGAGAAAAAAAAAAAAACAAACUUAUGAACAAGCAAAUAAGUUCUGUCAAUUGACCUGUCUAUCCAAUUGCAGAAGAAAUGAAGGUUGCAGCUACUUGCAAAAUAAUUUCAUUAUAAGCAUUCCUGAUAUAUGAAUGGCUGUAUGUUUUUAACAUUUGUUUGAACUAGUUGUAAUACCUAUCUGAUUCCUUUUGAGUAAAGUGUCAAAUACAAGUUUUAUGUUUGUGUAUGUUUUA